RNAcentral lists this transfer RNA (62 nucleotides) under Xenos vesparum. RNAcentral's name for it is "tRNA-Lys". Lineage: Eukaryota; Metazoa; Arthropoda; Insecta; Strepsiptera; Xenidae. The record is from RNAcentral.
UAUUAGGUGGCUGAAUUAAAGCUUUGGCCUCUUAAGUCAACAAUAGUUUUUACUCCUAAUAA